This is a long non-coding RNA of Poecilia latipinna (sailfin molly), 690 nucleotides long. RefSeq lists it as uncharacterized. The transcript has 2 exons. The record is from RefSeq and is a predicted model, not a curated record. NCBI's taxonomy places the organism in Eukaryota, Metazoa, Chordata, Actinopteri, Cyprinodontiformes, Poeciliidae.
AAUGCUGGUGAGGGAGUUCAGACAUUUUGGAGCAGAGGUGAAUCUAAAAGUUGCAGGAUGGCAACCCUGUAGGACUGGAGCUGGUGACCCCUGCGCUAGGCUAACACAUUAGCUUUGGUUGUAUUUGCUGCUGUAGUCCACUUCUUGUUUUUCAAACUGCACCAAAGCUCACUUAAACUGAACCAAACCCUGUGUGUGUGUUCAGGUUUAUUUCAUAAACACACAUCGGCCUCCUAAACCCUGAGCUGUUGCCAUGGCAACCUCAAUCUGCCGCACUGGAAACCAGAGAACCAGAUUGAUGAAUGAGCUUCCUGUCCUCCAGGCUUGCUUCAACCGAACCACAUGUGGAAAUAUCCUUAAACGUGAAGGAGCUGAAGUGGAACGAGCAAUUAGAAACUCCAUCAGGAAGAAGCCGCAGAGUUCAGCUGAGGCUCGGAUUAGCGCCGCUGCUGUCCGACUUUCUCUAAUGCAUCGUUAUCACAGCCAAGACCUUCGUUACCUGAUGUGAAGAAAACUUAGUCCUCCUGUCCAAAACCACAGAAUAUUCAGAACCAAAGCAACAGAAAACCUUCCCAACCAGAGGAAAGCCUGAAGGAGAGAAAAUCACAAUGCAAACUCAUGAAAGAUGAAACUCCAAAACACAAACGCAGCAGAAAAACACAAGAAAAAGAAGCAAAAAAAAAAAAAAAA